Molecule: ribosomal RNA, 301 nt
Filed under: uncultured bacterium
Lineage: Bacteria
Description: partial 16S ribosomal RNA
Rfam family: Bacterial small subunit ribosomal RNA
Source: RNAcentral
CAGCCGCCACGGUAAUACGUAGGUGGCAAGCGUUGUCCGGAAUUGUUGGGCGUAAAGCGCGCGCAGGCGGAUCAGUUAGUCUGUCUUAAAAGUUCGGGGCUUAACCCCGUGAGGGGAUGGAAACUGCUGAUCUAGAGUAUCGGAGAGGAAAGUGGAAUUCCUAGUGUAGCGGUGAAAUGCGUAGAUAUUAGGAAGAACACCAGUGGCGAAGGCGACUUUCUGGACGAAAACUGACGCUGAGGCGCGAAAGCCAGGGGAGCGAACGGGAUUAGAUACCCCCGUAGUCCCUGUCUCUUAUACA